GACGAACGCUGGCGGCGUGCCUAAUACAUGCAAGUCGAACGCAGUGGGGACGGGUGAGUAACACCUGGCUAACCUCCCAUCACAGUGGAUAACACUUGGAAACAGGUGCUAAACCGAUACUGAUGGAUGGACCCGCGGUGCAUUCGCUAGUUGGUGCGGUAACGGCUCACCAAGGCCACGAGGCAUAGCCGAGCUGAGAGGGUGAUCGGCCACACUGGGACUGAGACACGGCCCAGACUCCGACGGGAGGCAGCAGUAGGGAAUCUUCGGCAAUGGACGAAAGUCUGACCGAGCAACGCCGCGUGAGUGAAGAAGGUUUUCGGAUCGUAAAACUCUGUUGUUAGAGAAGCGGUAUCUAACCAGAAAGCCACGGCUAACUACGUGCCAGCAGCCGCGGUAAUUC
This 403-nucleotide ribosomal RNA is filed under the name uncultured bacterium. RNAcentral describes it as "partial 16S ribosomal RNA". It matches the Rfam family "Bacterial small subunit ribosomal RNA", at positions 28 to 526 of the family's 1533-position model. The record is from RNAcentral.